GACGAACGCUGGCGGCGUGCCUAAUACAUGCAAGUAGAACGCUGAAGGAGGAGCUUACUUCUCUGGAUGAGUUGCGAACGGGUGAGUAACGCGUAGGUAACCUGCCUGGUAGCGGGGGAUAACUAUUGGAAACGAUAGCUAAUACCGCAUAAGAGUAGAUGUUGCAUGACAUUUACUUAAAAGGUGCAAUUGCACCACUACCAGAUGGACCUGCGUUGUAUUAGCUAGUUGGUGGGGUAACGGCUUACCAAGGCGACGAUACAUAGCCGACCUGAGAGGGUGAUCGGCCACACUGGGACUGGGACACGGCCCAGACUCCUACGGGAGGCAGCAGUAGGGAAUCUUCGGCAAUGGACGGAAGUCUGACCGAGCAACGCCGCGUGAGUGAAGAAGGUUUUCGGAUCGUAAAGCUCUGUUGUAAGAGAAGAACAAGUGUGAGAGUGGAAAGUUCACACUGUGACGGUAUCUUACCAGAAAGGGACGGCUAACUACGUGCCAGCAGCCGCCGUAA
This 511-nucleotide ribosomal RNA is filed under the name uncultured bacterium. Its description in RNAcentral is "partial 16S ribosomal RNA". It matches the Rfam family "Bacterial small subunit ribosomal RNA", at positions 28 to 523 of the family's 1533-position model. The record is from RNAcentral.